This is an RNA transcript of Piliocolobus tephrosceles (Ugandan red Colobus), 8250 nucleotides long. RefSeq lists it as uncharacterized. The transcript has 2 exons. NCBI's taxonomy places the organism in Eukaryota, Metazoa, Chordata, Mammalia, Primates, Cercopithecidae. The record is from RefSeq and is a predicted model, not a curated record.
CUCGCCGCUUCCCCAGGCACUCUCCCGGCGGCGGCAGCUGCGCCGCCAAAGCCCCGGGCCCCAGCGGCCCCCCACCCCUCACUCGCGCGCUCCCACACUGCCUCCCCCUCCCCGGGGGAAGGCCUUUUAAUUUAUUUAUUCUUCUGGGACUGGGGUGGGGGUCUUGGCUGGCGGGGGAGGGGGUCUCCCCGGGCUCUACCUCCCGCGGCCGGGACUACCCUCCGAGCCGCGGCCGCCGCGGCGUGCGUCCCGGGCCUGCAAAACUGUUUCCAAACUGCCUGGGCAGGAGGCGGGCGCGCGGGGACCCGGGGAGAGGGCUGGGGUCUAAGGGGCCGAGGGUGUGUGUGGACGCUGGGAACCGCGCGGGGAGGCCGGCGUCGACUCAGAGGAGUUGCAAUCGAGGUCCGGGAGUGGCGGCGGCCAAUCAGCGCGCGGCUUCCAUUUUGUGAGUUCAACUCCGAGGCUCCCGGGCUUCGCGAGGACGCGUUUGCAGCCCCCUCUGCCGCUCCUCUCUGGCGGCCGAGGCGCAGGAGCCGCCUCGUCGGGGCUCGGAGCUGGUGUAGCUCAUAUUGGGGCUCUUUUGGGGGUUUGUAAUUUGGCCGUGGGUAGGUAAUUGGCUGGAGCAGGGCGGCAGGGCGCGGCAGCCAAUCAGCGCGCGGCUUCUAUAGGGCUUGAGUUAUUAGACGCUGAUCUCAAAACAUCCUUCAUCAGACACGAAGGAGAGGCCAACAGAUGAGGGAAGCCAUUUUUCUGCAAUGGAAUUAAAUGGCCAAGUGGGUUUUUCCUUUGUUGCAAAUGGGGAAUGUUUUUCCUUUGACUCUACCAUCCAGUUCAGGACGUCUCAGUGUGUUUAACAUUUGUCAACAGGCCCAAGGACUCACAGUUGGAAGACUGGAGAAGACUUUUUAAAAAGAUCUGGAUUUUUCCUUAUGACUUGGAAUCCAUCUUUGUCUUGUAUAACUAGGUCAUAGCACACCAUUCAUGUCAGCAGUUAACAGUUUUGAAUUCCAAAAAAACCUAAGUAAAUGACAUAUUUUUUUUCCUCUUUUUGUUCUUUGGGUGGGUGGGGGGAGCUUGGAGCUGUCUUAAUCUGUAUUCUCUUGACUGAACAAUAAAUUUUUAAAUAUAUCUAGUUUCCUCUAUUAAACACUUAAACCUGGCCAUCUUAUUAACUCCUUCUCUCUUUUUAACAAGGUAAUGUUUUAAAUGUAUAUAGCUUUAGGACUAGCGAAAUGGCAGCAACAAAAAAUUGUGAGCAGUUGUUACUUAGUUUUUAAAAAACCUUUUACAUUGUAAGUACCCAAUCCAUUCUGUCCUGACGCAGUACAGUUUUUAUGUUAAUGUUGCUGAGAUGUCCUUAAUUUUCCGAACCUUCAUCUGCAUGUAUGUCUUUGUCUCUCUUGUCUAAUAUAAGCCAGUUAAGAUGCUUUGAGACGAUCUUUUAUAAAGCUAAGGUUCUAGCUUUAUGCUUUUGAAAAUGCUUACAGCACUAAAUGCUAGUCAGCUUUCUUCCCCGUAGCUUGUACACUUUCUUUGAAAAUCGAUCUAUUUGAAGAAAAACAGCCCUGUUUUUCUGUCUUUGGGGUUGGGGGUUGGGGGGAGCUGGUGGGUGAGGGAAAGGAAGACCUUCUCUUUGUGUCGAGAGACUAAAGCCGUCACAGGAAACUAGAUUAAAACUGGAAAACAAGUCCUAGCUGGUUCCAGCAAACACCAACGUUAAGUGGGGGGUAUUUUCUAUGGUGGUUGGGCGGCUGGUGUGUCUUUUGCCUUUUGUUUGAUUUGACUGUGUAUUUUCGCCUUUUGUCUCUUAAUGACGAUCACACCAUUGCUAUAUCCAGAGCAGUAAACAGUCCUCAGCGAAGCCGCCUUUUUGCCUACCCAACCCUGGAAAGUUUGCAGAAGUGGAAGGAGCAGAACGUGAGGGUGUAACUUACAAAAAGGUAACAAGAACAAAGACACCACCAUAACUCCCAAAUUUCCCAACUAAAUCAAAAAGUAUAUAUGUUUUUACAAUAACGUCUCCAAAACCACCGCCCAGCUUGAUCUUCCAGACUCCAUGGCACCGGGCUGAGCGGGUAAGUAAGAGAAAUAAAAGUGCCUUUUGCCCCUUCGAGGAAACCCUUUUGCAGGCCAAGCAAGGGCUGCGAGUGUUUGGGAGCUGAGGGGAGAAGGAUUCUGGAGCAUUGUAUUUGGCAGCCGGAGCGGGCAGUGGGCGGGGGGUUGGGACACAGAGGACUCUUCGGACCCCGUGCCUCUUCUGCCCCAAGGGCGAGAAGAGGGGCUCCGCAGCGACCCUCGGGGGUUCAUGGAGCCGCCUGCCUUCGCCCCCCUCGCUCUUCCCAGGUCUGAGCCUGGAUGGGGAGAAGAAAUUAAAGUGCUUUGGAGACGGGGGGCUUAAAAGACGAGGGAGCCUCAUCGCUCAGCCUUUGGCCCUCUUUCUCUUUCAAUCGUGAGGAUUCCGCACCCCGAAGCCGGCUUCUCGGGGCUCCGGGGUGCGCCUGCGCUGGCAACGCGAAAGAGGACAAAAGGCCGGCGUCCAUGUUGGCACCAUGACGCAGCAUCUCCGCCCGCAGCCCGGCGCUCCUGUUUUCCUGGCCGCGCUCGCUCCUCCUCCCAAACACCAGUUUUCUUUACAGGCUUCGAGCCCGUCGCGGCUGGGCUGGGCUGGGCUGGACUGGCGGGCCGGCCCGGCCGGGCAGGGCUGCGGUGCUAAUGGCGGCGGCUCUCCCUCCUUCCUCCUGGUCGUGGGGAGCCCGGAGCAGGAGGCGGGCCCGUGGCCAGGUCGGGCCCCGAGAGCCCGCGGAGCGCAGCGGUGGCGACCCGGUCUCGGGAGCCGUUUCGGGGGCCGUGGGCCUCGGGGGCGUCGCACGCUGCGUCUCCCGCGCUCGCUUCAGCCUGGCUCGGCGGCCUGACGGGCGCCAUUUCGCGCGCUGCCCGUGGCUGGGGCGGUGGCGGCCGCCGCGCGCCAGGCGGGAGAAGCGGCCGGGGGAGGGGGGCUGGGUGACCCGGAGGCCCACGCGGGCACCAGGAGGCCUCGCCCCGGGCCGCUUCCCCCUUUCCUCUUUGUCCCGCGCGGGCGGCCGAGGGCCACGGGGUUGGCGGGGCCUCGAGGCCGCCCCGGGUCCCACCGCCUCCUCCGGAAGCCGCGGCCCGGCCUGGCUCUGAUCCCAGGCCGCCCCCCGCUGCCCACCCGGCUCUGGGCGCCCGGGUCCGACCUCCCAGUCGCCCUUUGAGAUCCGAACCGGCGCGGGACGGGGGGUCGCCCCCUUUGUCCCCACUCAGGUCGUGAGGCCCUCGGGGUGGCCAGAGACGCCCCGUUGGGUCGUCCAGGGUGCAGCCCUCCUGCCCAGGUCUCCAGGCAGGAGGUGGGGGAAGCCUGGGAAAACGGAGGGGGGCCCCCCGGAUCCCCCGAGGCGCGGGGCUCCGGGCGAAGCCUCAGAUCUCAGGCCCUUCCCGGGGAGAGUGCGGGCGGGGCGGGCCUUUGGAAAUGCAGAUGAGCCGCCGCCCGGGCCCGGGCUGAACCUUCUGACUCAGCCGCCCCCGGCCCGGGCUGGGGGUGGGGCGACGUCUUGGGGGCUCCCUUUCGGCCCCGGAGCCCCCGUCCACUGUGCCUUCGGCCGGUCACAUCUCUCUCCCGCCACGCCCUGAUCCGCCCUCCACCUUCCUCCCCUCCAGGUUCUGGGCCAGAGAAGGGGCGACAGCCGGGCAACCCCCGAAUGGAUAAUUUUUCCUUCUGUCGACGGCAGGGGCAGGCCUAGUUUGACCCUGACAGUCCUCCCAUUAAGGUAGGUGUGAGUCCUUGCCCAGACCGUGAGGGAGAUUUGGGGGACUCUGGCCUGCAGCCCAGGGAGGGCGGAACCCCAAACCCGCCGGGCUGGUUCUGCGGCCCCGCCCCCCAGCUGCGAGCGCUUAGGGCCGCCUGCUGGGCCGCCAAGGCCAUCCAUCCCCGCCUGUCAGCUUCUGUUGUCAGGCAUUUGGGGCGUGCAAUUCUCUGCCGAAUUUAGCAGCAUCCGAGAGGCUCCACUUGCAAGUAUUUCCCAGUUGUGUGUUUUUCGGCGGGGGGAGGGCCCUGGGUGCCUCCCACUUCUAAAAGACACAGGUCACUGCCAGAAAGCCCGACUGCGCUGUGGCCUCCCCUCCAGCCGUCCCCGUGGGGCAUGUGGGGUGACAAUGUGAGCCAUCCUCGGAUGUCUGGCUGCUAGGGAGGCAAAGAACAGAGACCCGGCCAGCUUUCUUUAUGAAAGGGCCUUCCUUGACGCUUCUCCACCUUCCUGGGAUUCUUGUUUUCUUCUCCAGUCCCCAAAUGGGCAGGCCUGUAUAUAAGCCUUGUUUUUAGAACCAGACAAAGCUGGAUUUGAAACCUGGCGAGCCAUUGAACAGCUAUAGCCUUGUGUAAGCGGCAUAGCCUCCAAGCCUGUUUCUCCAUCUCCAAAAACAAGGCUAGAUCAGUGAUUCUUAGUCGGGAACCGCCUUCAGAAUCACACCCGAAGGGGGACUCAUUGAAAAUGGACCACGGGGCCUGGUGCCCCAGUGUCUGAUUCAGUGGGUGGGUCCUGAGGACUGGCAUUUCUAACAAGUUCCCAGGUGAGGCUGAUGCUGUGGUCAGAACACGUUUUGAGACCCCAGCCCCCAGCCUGGUAACACCUGGGGUUUUGACGCAGACGUGCCAAGUUCCACGCUUGGCACAUAGUAAUUGAUUUCAUUUUAACACUAGCUGACUUCAGGUACUGAAUAGUUUCUCAUCUCAGUGUUUGAGAAGCUCCACAGCUGGAGAUGGCGGCCCUUGGUCUCGGACCCCCCAUGUGAUCUCUGCUUUGUGAUUGCGUUAAUGAACCAUUUGUGUCCAGGUGCUCCAGAUCACACCACUCCCCUAUUUGGGAGGUGUGCCCCCCUCCCGCUGUGAGGGCUACACUGAGCUCUGGGGACCUGUGGGGAUAAACAGGGAGACCUUGCUAAAGGUAUCUUGGUGCUAAGGGAGAUAGUUCGCCGUGGGCUAGGAUCUCGAUAGUGCUGGUGACCUUGGGUGAGUGUCUCCCUUUAAAGUGAUAAGGAUGCCUGCUGGAAAGGGUGGGUGGGAGGAUUAAGUGCCUUAAGGAGGCCCUCCUCCCAAACUUUUAGUUGGCCUUCCUUGUGAUCAUGGUUAUUGCUGGGAGUGGCUGCAGGGGGUGGGCGCUGGGCUGCCUCAGAGCUCCCCCCCCCCCCACCAGUCCACCUGCGGAAGCACGUGUCCCUGCCUCAGGGCAAAGGGGAAUCUAGCGCUCCCGCUCCGUGGGAAGGCAGCCAACGCGGUUCUCCUCCGGAGUGGUUGAGUCCAGCUGGAGGUAGAGGCCUUUCCCCAGCCGCACAGGCUGUUCCAUGGUGGGGUCAAGAUUUGGGUCACACACCCAUGAUCCGGGGAGAAGUGACUCGCCCAAGGUCACAAGGCCACCACCAGUAGAGCCAGGAUGGGGUUCCAGGUGGCUUGACUUGGCAGCCAGCGCCUGUGCCCAUGGCACCCCCUCACCCCAGCUGUCUGGGUUAUUUUGGGCUUCCUCCCGUGCCAGCUGUCUGCUGGCAUCCCUGCCCAGGACUGUCUGGUUGGAAGUAACCGGCGUGGUGCUGUUGGCUCCUCCUGUGAGGGCCAGGGCUGGGUCUUCAAUCCCCGAUGAGCUGCCCUGGGUCCAGCUCCUUUGCUGGGAGGGAAGGGUGUUCCUGCCCAGACUCCCCUCUGCCCAAGUACAGCAAGAGGGCGAAAGCACCUGAUAGAAAUUGAGGUUCACAUUGUUAAUGUCCCAAAAGCCUCUUCUUCUGUACUCCCUGAAACCUGUUUUAAAUUUGGCUCUGCAGAGUCUUCGCUGCUCUCCGGGUGGGGUCUUUACUCCCCACCUGCUUUGGAUAAUUAAGGAAUUGAUGUACGUCUCUCCCAGCUGCACCCUGGAGGGCUCCAGCCAGUUUCUCCCCUCCCUGGAUCCAAUCAGGGAGCCGUUGGGUUGGUUCUCAGCGCGGUGUCGGGACCCACCUGGCUGCACUGUACCCUCUCUCUGCGCUUUGGUCCCUUUUCUUUGUCCCCCCACCAUCACCUCCCAGGGCAGGGAGGGUGGGGCAGUUUGUCCUCUUGCUGCUGUUCCUGCUGGUCCCUCGAGGGCGCCCCGCCCACCGGUCACCCAGCGAACGCGGGGCGGGGCUGCUCCUGGCGCCCGGCCCUGAGGCCUGCGGAGAGAGGGCCACGCCAGCGGAAGGGCCGGCCAGGAGGUGGCAGGACUUGCCUUACUACUGAGUUGCUGGCGUCCCCGCCUCUUCCGGCUCCUCGUCCCGGAACCCUAGUGCGGAGCAUGACCUUUCGGACCCUUUGGGUGGAGACACAGCCUCUGCCUAGGCUGUGCAGUGAGGCGGCCCCACAUCUCAAGUUGCCUGGCCCAGUGCAUCUCUAGCUGGCAUGUGACCUCCAGCAAACUCCUGCACCUGAGCGCUGGGAGGAGCAGGUCCGGCAAUUGGCAAUUUUUUCUUUUUUUUUUUGAGAUAGAGUUUCUCUCUUGUUGACCAGGCAAUGGUGCAUCUCGGCUCACCGCAGCCUCCGCCUCCAGGGUUCAAGCGAUUCUCAGCCUCAGCCUCCGAGUAGCUGGGAUUACAGGCAUGCACCACCAUGCCUGGCUAAUUUUGUAUUUUUAGUAGCGACAGGGUUUGUCCAUGUUGGUCAGGCUGGUCUCGAACUGCCCUCAGGUGAUGUGCCCGCCUCGGCCUCCCGAAGUGCUGGAUUCCAGGCGUGAGCUGCUGCGCCCGGCAGACAAUAAGGUUCUGAGCGUUGCUGAGUCUGGCUUUUGUGAGGGGAACUUUUAGCACUCAAGGAGUGGCCUUGCCCCUGGCCGGUCCCCGAGUGCUCAUGGGCAGCCAAGGCCUGGGGACUGCUCGGGCUUGGUAGAUGUACUUGCCAGGCCAGCUCCCAUCCCUGGGACCUCAGGGAGUAGCUUCAUCCCUGAAGGCUCAGUGUCUCCUGCCUCAUGUGGGUGGCCCCUCUGCAGGGUUCUCAGGCACCCAGGGAAGUGGGUGCCACAGUGUUGCCUCCAGCCUCACUGGAGCUGGCUGGGCUUUGCUCUGACAACACAGCAGUGGCUGGGCCCCUGCAGCUCUCCAGGGCUCGGUUUCCCUGUUGGCCGCACUAUGGCAUAGGCCCCAGUGUGGACACCGAUGAGCUGACCCCCUUACAAAUACCACUUGGCCGCUCCCCCGGGCUUCAGUGACCCAAGAUCCCUUGUGUGAAGAACCAGCUUAAAGAAUCUUUCUUGCCUUCUCCAACUCUCCAGGAAUUCCUAGUGACUGGAAGGGGAGUGACACGGGUCCUCAACCUCUAGCAGGUAAGGGAGCUGCCUCCUGGGUGGGCGUGCCCAGUUCCUCAGCGGGCCCAUCGCGGCCCAGCCUCCAAGGAAGCUCCGAAGCAGCUGGCUUAGCUCCGAGGUAUUUUUAGCUACAGAUUCAGCCCCCUCCAUCACCACAACAGUCAAGUCCAAAUCAAAUGCGCUCCAGGCAGGUGGGACUGGGGUUCUGCCAGCCUCCUGGCCAGCAGGGGUGGGUGGGCAGACUGGGGCCGGUAUCAGCUGUUCUGCCUGGGCCCAGGCCGGGCUGGGAAGGCACACUUGUUCUCAUUUCCCGCCUCCACUUUCGUGCCAGCUUGUGCUGUCAUAAGCAGAGAUUCACAGCCCCAUUUCUUGGAUGGAAAAAGUGGACACUGAGGUCUGAGGCUUCUGAGGACAAUCAGGAGCCUCCUUCUGGGCUCCAGUGAUGCACUCACCAGCUUCUGGUCCUCUUCCUCCACCUCCUGGAGUGUCUUGGCUACCUCCUGGGUCCUAGGGAACCUUGGCCCCAGCCCUACCUCCCCAGCCAGUCACAGCUCCUCCCUGGUCACUCUGGGGAGCUCAGCACCCGGCUGGUGGCUGUGCUCCUCUCCUUCUGUCCUCCAGUCCCAUGGAGCCUGGCAGGCAACUCCUCCAUGAUCUAAACCCCGUUACCUUGAUAGCCCUGCCUGGCCUCCCGUCUCAUGGCCCAGCCACCCCAGAGCCUGAAGAGGUUUUCUAGCUGCCGUGCAUUUGUCAGGCCGGGUUACCCACCCUACUUUUCCUGCCUGCCCUCCAUUGCUGCCAAGCCCAGUGUGCCAUUCAGCGCUCAGCCUUCUGUAAAGGGUUCCCCUCUUCCAGCCUCCGUUGCACCACUUCCCACAAGACUGACCUCCUGGAAAGCUGGAGCAUAACUGCCUCUCAAUAAACGUGUUGCGAAAAA